This 588-nucleotide ribosomal RNA is filed under the name uncultured bacterium. RNAcentral's name for it is "bacterial SSU rRNA". It matches the Rfam family "Bacterial small subunit ribosomal RNA", at positions 338 to 916 of the family's 1533-position model. The record is from RNAcentral.
CCUACGGGAGGCAGCAGUGGGGAAUCUUGCGCAAUGGGCGAAAGCCUGACGCAGCAACGCCGCGUGUGUGGUGAAGGUCUUCGGAUCGUAAAGCACUGUCGCGAGGGAAGAGAAGCCGAGGGUGAACAAUCCUUGGAUAGGACGGUACCUCGAGAGGAAGCACCGGCUAACUCUGUGCCAGCAGCCGCGGUAAUACAGAGGGUGCGAGCGUUGUUCGGAAUUAUUGGGCGUAAAGCGCUUGUAGGCGGCCGUUUAAGUCUCAUGUGAAAGCCCUAGGCUUAACCUAGGAAGUGCAUGAGAUACUGGAUGGCUUGAAUGCCGGAGAGGGUCGCGGAAUUCCCGGUGUAGAGGUGAAAUUCGUAGAUAUCGGGAGGAACACCAGUGGCGAAGGCGGCGACCUGGACGGACAUUGACGCUGAGACGCGAAAGCGUGGGGAGCAAACAGGAUUAGAUACCCUGGUAGUCCACGCUGUAAACGAUGGGUGCUAGUUGUGGUGGGUGUUGACCCCUGCCGUGACGCAGCUAACGCAAUAAGCACCCCGCCUGGGAAGUACGGCCGCAAGGCUAAAACUCAAAUGAAAUUGACGG